Molecule: ribosomal RNA, 194 nt
Filed under: uncultured bacterium
Lineage: Bacteria
Description: partial 16S ribosomal RNA
Rfam family: Bacterial small subunit ribosomal RNA
Source: RNAcentral
CCUACGGGAGGCAGCAGCUAAGAAUAUUCCACAAUGGACGAAAGUCUGAUGGAGCGACACCGCGUGGAUGACGAAGGCCGAAAGGUUGUAAAAUCCUUUUAAACUGGAAGAAUAAUCAUGGUAGGGAAUGACCGUGAGGUGACCGUACAGUUUGAAUAAGCAACGGCUAAUUACGUGCCAGCAGCCGCGGUAAU